AACGAACGCUGGCGGCAUGCCUAACACAUGCAAGUCGAACGAGACCUUCGUGUCUAGUGGCGCACGGGUGCGUAACGCGUGGGAACCUGCCCUUAGGUUCGGAAUAACUCCCCGACAGGGGUGCUAAUACCGGAUAAUGUCUUCGGACCAAAGAUUUAUCGCCUUUGGAUGGGCCCGCGUUGGAUUAGCUAGUUGGUAGGGUAAAAGCCUACCAAGGCGACGAUCCAUAGCUGGUCUGAGAGGAUGAUCAGCCACACUGGGACUGAGACACGGCCCAGACUCCUACGGGAGGCAGCAGUGGGGAAUAUUGGACAAUGGGCGAAAGCCUGAUCCAGCAAUGCCGCGUGAGUGAUGAAGGCCUGAGGGUUGUAAAGCUCUUUUACCCGGGAUGAUAAUGACAGUACCGGGAGAAUAAGCUCCGGCUAACUCCGUG
RNAcentral lists this ribosomal RNA (433 nucleotides) under uncultured bacterium. RNAcentral's name for it is "partial 16S ribosomal RNA". It matches the Rfam family "Bacterial small subunit ribosomal RNA", at positions 29 to 507 of the family's 1533-position model. The record is from RNAcentral.